GAUCAGUUCGAAUAUUUAAUACUCGAAAAAGAUUUAAAAUAUCCAAAAAUCCAAAAAAUAUGCGAAAACUCAAAAAAUAUCUGAUAUAAAAACGUACCCGAAAACUCAAACGAAUACCCAAAAAUAUGUCAUAUUAUACAACUUUGUAAUAUAAUAAUUUACAACAAUUACAAAAUACUAUUUCCUAUCAAAAUUUAUUUAUAAUCCAAAAUAACCCGCGCUUUCAAAGCGCGGGUCAAAAUCUAGUAAGAACUUGAAAACUAAAAAACUAAAAAAAAAGCCUAACCAUCUUAAUAUGUAUACAAAUGUUGAACAUUACUGAAUACACGGAGUGAGUCAAAGUUUCACACACAUCUCCAAAUUUCCAAAUGGACAUGCCUGAAAAACAAAU
RNAcentral lists this long non-coding RNA (391 nucleotides) under Brassica rapa (field mustard). RNAcentral describes it as "long non-coding RNA (BRAP_LNC006278)". Lineage: Eukaryota; Viridiplantae; Streptophyta; Magnoliopsida; Brassicales; Brassicaceae. The record is from RNAcentral.